RNAcentral lists this ribosomal RNA (118 nucleotides) under Lepisosteus oculatus (spotted gar). Lineage: Eukaryota; Metazoa; Chordata; Actinopteri; Semionotiformes; Lepisosteidae. The record is from RNAcentral.
GCCAGCAGCCAUAUCACUCUGCAACUCACAACUGGUACUCACUUAAACUAAGCAGAUGAGAGCCUGUUCAGAACCUGGAGGGGAGAUCUCCUGGGAAAAACUAAGGUUGCUGCUAGAA